CCUACGGGUGGCAGCAGUGAGGAAUAUUAGUCAAUGGCCGCAGGGCUGAACCAGCCAAGUCGCGUGAGGGAUGACGGUCCUAUGGAUUGUAAACCUCUUUUGUCAGGGAGCAAAGGGCGCCACGUGUGGCGUUUUGCGAGUACCUGACGAAAAAGCAUCGGCUAACUCCGUGCCAGCAGCCGCGGUAAGACGGGGGAUGCGAGCGUUAUCCGGAUUUAUGGGGUUUAAAGGGUGCGCAGGGGGAAUGUCAAGUCAGCGGUAAAAUUUCGGGGCUCAACCCCGUCGUGCCGUUGAAACUGGGGGUCUUGAGUGAGCGAGAGGUAUGCGGAAUGCGUGGUGUAGCGGUGAAAUGCGUAGAUAUAACGCAGAACUCCGAUUGCGAAGGCAGAAUACCGGCGCUCAACUGACGCUCAUGCACGAAAGCGUGGGUAGCGAACAGGAUUAGAUACCCGAGUAGUC
Molecule: ribosomal RNA, 459 nt
Filed under: uncultured bacterium
Lineage: Bacteria
Description: partial 16S ribosomal RNA
Rfam family: Bacterial small subunit ribosomal RNA
Source: RNAcentral